This 301-nucleotide ribosomal RNA is filed under the name uncultured bacterium. Its description in RNAcentral is "partial 16S ribosomal RNA". It matches the Rfam family "Bacterial small subunit ribosomal RNA", at positions 509 to 809 of the family's 1533-position model. The record is from RNAcentral.
CAGCAGCCACGGGAAAACGUAGGUGGCAAGCGUUGUCCGGAAUUAUUGGGCGUAAAGCGCACGCAGGCGGAUCAGUUAGUCUGUCUUAAAAGUUCGGGGCUUAACCCCGUGAUGGGACGGAAACUGCCAAUCUAGAGUAUCGGAGAGGAAAGUGGAAUUCCUAGUGUAGCGGUGAAAUGCGUAGAUAUUAGGAAGAACACCAGUGGCGAAGGCGACUUUCUGGACGAAAACUGACGCUGAGGCGCGAAAGCCAGGGGAGCGAACGGGAUUAGAUACCCCCGUAGUCCCUGUCUCUUAUACA